This 492-nucleotide ribosomal RNA is filed under the name uncultured bacterium. Its description in RNAcentral is "bacterial SSU rRNA". It matches the Rfam family "Bacterial small subunit ribosomal RNA", at positions 43 to 524 of the family's 1533-position model. The record is from RNAcentral.
CAGGCCUAACACAUGCAAGUCGAACGGUAACAGGAAGCAGCUUGCUGCUUCGCUGACGAGUGGCGGACGGGUGAGUAAUGUCUGGGAAACUGCCUGAUGGAGGGGGAUAACUACUGGAAACGGUAGCUAAUACCGCAUAACGUCGCAAGACCAAAGAGGGGGACCUUCGGGCCUCUUGCCAUCGGAUGUGCCCAGAUGGGAUUAGCUAGUAGGUGGGGUAACGGCUCACCUAGGCGACGAUCCCUAGCUGGUCUGAGAGGAUGACCAGCCACACUGGAACUGAGACACGGUCCAGACUCCUACGAGAGGCAGCAGUGGGGAAUAUUGCACAAUGGGCGCAAGCCUGAUGCAGCCAUGCCGCGUGUAUGAAGAAGGCCUUCGGGUUGUAAAGUACUUUCAGCGGGGAGGAAGGGAGUGAGGUUAAUAACCUCAUUCAUUGACGUUACCCGCAGAAGAAGCACCGGCUAACUCCGUGCCAGCAGCCGCGGUAAU